CCUUCCAGCACCUAAAGGAACUUACAUGAAAGCUGGAGAGGGAUUUUCUACAAAGGCAUUUAUGAUAGGACAAGGGCUUUAAACUGAGGGGGGAGAGGCAAUUCUGAUAAGGUUUAAAGCUGUGGAAGCAAAGACAAAGGAAUAUGAAUUUGGGAAACAAUUUUCAGAGAAAGAAGGUGACAGAAUUCUUCAUCAGAAGUCCUUAUUGAGAAAAUGCAGUGAAUCCUCAAUAAAGUCACCACAAUGGGAACAAAGACCCUUGCAGAAGCUGCUGCAGUGUGGCCACCACAGCUCACUUACUGUCCUCUCCCACAUGGGAUAGGAAAUCUGCUCAGUGGUUCUCAGCAACUAAUCUUCUCUCUUUUUGAGAAGUCUUUUAAAUCUGAUUAAUGAUUUUAAUGGCUGCUUUUUAAAGUCGACUUGGUUAAUACAUAGAACUGGUCCUGAAAACCAGGAUGAAAAGAAUCUGAUUUAUAUUUAUUGAUCACUUUCAGAAGAAAGUCUUUCUGUUCUUCUAAAACCAAGCAGGGACACAGAUUGAGGGAGAAGAUGAAUUUAAUGCCGGGAACUCUUUGAGAUAAGGUAGUCAUAUACACAACCAUUUGUAGGCUUAAGCCCUGUUGUAGCACCAGUUAUAAAUACUUAUCUGAGUGGUCUCAGUGAAUGCAGUGUGAUUUCUAAUGUGUUUGUAUAUUGGUUCCUGAGUGUAAAAGUGGGACUUGGUCCUGAAAAUGAUUGUGCAUUGUACAGCUUGAUUCUGUAUGAUGCAAAUGCCUUUGUUGUCAUGAAGAAACUAUCAGUAAAUGAGUUUCCAAAGCUUUGUCAAAUUAAUGCCCAAGUUGCCAGAACAAAAAACCAUUAUAGGAAAAAUAAGAUCAAAUGAUACAAACUGAAAAUUGUGAGAUUACUUAGUAGUAGUUUCUAAUAUUUUUUGAUUUCAGUAAAUGUAAUCAACUCUUUAAACUAGACUAACAAAGAUGGUUUCUUUAUCAAUAUAGGCUUUUCUUUCCUUUGGAUAGUGUUAUUCACACCAAGGAAAAGCAAAUGUCUCUUGGAUAUCUGUGUUCUUACUAACAUAUGGUUAAUAACUCCUGGUGAAAAAUCGUCUCCAGUGGUGCUACAGAAAUGACAGAAGAUCAUCAUAAUCUGCCAAAUCAGCAUACCUUUUUUUUUUAAUCAAACCCUAAAGACGAUGAAGUUUAGUGGUCACUUGAUGAGUAUGGUACUUCCUCCUCUAUUUAAUUUCUUUGGCAGCAUUGCAAAAGUGUUUAUAAGCAGUUUCUCAUUCCUCUUGAGUGUCAGUGGAGAUGCACAUGAUACUAAUAUUAUCACUUUCAAUAGAGGUAUCUUUUAGUCAUCCCACAGUCUCUAGUUGGUCAGUAGCCUACUGCCUCUGCCACUGGUAUCCUCACUCAAAUGAAUGAGAGAUAAGAUGAAAGCAAGUGACUUUGGUUUCUGUUAUUUAGGUGCUUUCUUUCUAGUAAAAUUAAACCACAGAAGUCAGCUUCCUGACCAAAAAAAAAAAAAAAAACACAAUAAAGGAAAGAAAAGAAAAAUAUAGGACUCCGUUUUUAUAAUCACCAGGAAGUUAUAGGUCCAUGAGUGGGUUUUGAUUGAUCUCAAUAAAUAGACGCUGAUCUGUAAAAGUUUAUCUUUUACUGAAAUGCCACCAUUAUGUGCAGACAGGCUCUCGCUGUAUCUUCUGUGCUUCCUGCUCCUGUUCCAGUCAUUCUGUGUCCUCUGGGCUGUGGUGAUUUCCAGGGGUUACAAAGCUUGAGUUGCACUGCUGUGAUGUGAUGGCCAGCACUUCAGCCUGCAUUACCACAGCCACACAGUAUCCAGACACCCAUGCUUGGUCUGUAUGCUGGAUUAGAGAUACUUUAGAAAUGGGAAUAUACUGGUUAAUGCAGUGUCAUUGUUUACAAGCUGACUGGAAAACAGCCAUUAUUUUUAUAUGGGGUUGAUAUAAUCAGCCAGCCACCUAGAGAAAUGCUUUUUGGCUAGUGCCUUGGUUUCCUUAAAAUGCAGAAUAAGGAAUGCCGUAAAAUAUAUUGCUUUAUUACUGUAAGCCAUAUAUAUUUGGUUUUCCUUGUAAAAAGUGCCCA
Molecule: non-coding RNA, 2105 nt
Organism: Zonotrichia albicollis (white-throated sparrow)
Lineage: Eukaryota; Metazoa; Chordata; Aves; Passeriformes; Passerellidae
Source: RefSeq, a predicted model, not a curated record